AGGGGCAGCAUGAUUUGUAGCAAUACAGAUUGAUGGCGACCGGCGCACGGGUGAGUAACGCGUAUGCAACCUGCCCUUCACUGGGGGAUAACCGGGAGAAAUUCCGACUAAUACCGCAUAUGAUGUCUGAACGAAUGUUCGGGUUUUGAAAGAUUUAUCGGUGAAGGAUGGGCAUGCGUGAUAUUAGGUAGUUGGCGGGGUAACGGCCCACCAAGCCGACGAUAUCUAGGGGUUCUGAGAGGAAGGUCCCCACACUGGUACUGAGACACGGUCCAAACUCC
RNAcentral lists this ribosomal RNA (281 nucleotides) under uncultured Bacteroidota bacterium. RNAcentral's name for it is "uncultured Bacteroidetes bacterium partial 16S ribosomal RNA". It matches the Rfam family "Bacterial small subunit ribosomal RNA", at positions 65 to 339 of the family's 1533-position model. The record is from RNAcentral. Lineage: Bacteria; Pseudomonadati; Bacteroidota.